GUAAAAUAACUACAUGUUUGAGGAGAAAUUAUGAGGUUCAUACACAAGUUUUUAUAAAUAGUUAUGAAGAUUCAGGUUGCAAGUGAUGGAAAUCCAAAUCAGACGAGCUUGAGCAAAAAAGAGUUUCCUUUUAUAGCUUAUAUAACCAGAAGUUCAGAAAGGGCAAACUCGGAUGCCAUCAUCUGAACUCACCUCUCUGCACCUCUUACCUCUGCUUUUUCUCUAGAGGACAUGAUCCUCCCAGACCUACUUCCACAAGCACAGAGAGCCUGCCAGUCUGCAGCAAGCCCCCAGCACAGCCCCACUGCUUAGUGAUUGGUGAGCUCCACGUUGACAAAGCUUGGGAAAGAAGUCUAGUAUCUAAAGCAAGCAGCUGAGGUAGCAGCCGGUAGAAGGGUCCUGAGAGGGAUGCAUACUUCACCUUCCCCGAGGGCGUGUUGAGCAAAUUUCCCACCCUAAAAAAUUGGGGUCUUCUUGAGUCACCCUGUGCAGUCUGAUCUUCAGUGUAAUAAAAGUCUGCUCAAGAGGAAAGCAAAGGAACACCUUGGAGGAGUGGAUGAGGACACCAAGGCAUAGAAAGUUGAAGGAACUUGGCCAAGAGCACACAGCUAAUGCAUGGUGACUCCAGGGGACAGAUGCCCUACAUGGCUGAUCACACUUGCCCAGUUGACCCUCUGCAACACUUCAUGAAAAAAGUAAAACAAAUCUCAGCAGCUUUUCAGAAGUUUCCAGAAAGCUCGGCUACCCAAAUCCUGCCAGGGCCCUUGUGAGCAUUCACAUCUCAUCCAACUCUGUUUUAUCUACUCUCAGCUCUCCGUGGGGGCCGUGGAAACCUUGUGUCCCCCACUCUUCUCAAGCACAGCAGGACUUCGGAUCGCAAAAAGGCAGGAGGAAGAAUGGGAACACUUACAGGGCAACCCUUUGUGUAUUAAAAAUGUUAUAUAUUUUUGCCUAUUCUGGUGGUGUGUGUGUGUGUGUUUGUGUGUGUCUAUGACAUACAUCACCAGAAUAGGCAAAUCCAUAGAGAGAGAAAGUAGAUUAAUGGUUGCCGAGGGCUGGGGGCCUGUGGGAAGGGUAGAGAGUGAUUGCUAAUAGUACGGGGUUUGUUUUCAGGGUAAGGAAACUGUUCUGAAAUUGAUUAUGAUGACAGUUGCACAGCUCAGUGAAUAUACUACUAAUAAAAAAAUCAU
Long non-coding RNA from Lemur catta (Ring-tailed lemur), 1190 nucleotides. RefSeq lists it as uncharacterized. The record is from RefSeq and is a predicted model, not a curated record. Lineage: Eukaryota; Metazoa; Chordata; Mammalia; Primates; Lemuridae. The transcript has 3 exons.